AGACGAAUGGUGCAAGCGUUGUUCGGAAUCACUGGGCAUAAAGAGCACGUAGGCGGCGAUGUAAGUCAGGUGUGAAAUCCCUCGGCUCAACCGAGGAACUGCAUCUGAUACUGCAUUGCUUGAGGACGGGAGGGGAGAACGGAAUUCCUGGUGGAGCGGUGAAAUGCGUAGAUAUCAGGAGGAACGCCGGAGGCGAAAGCGGUUCUCUGGCCCGUUUCUGACGCUGAGGUGCGAAAGCUAGGGGAGCAAACAGGAUUAGAUACCCCAGUAGUCC
This 274-nucleotide ribosomal RNA is filed under the name uncultured bacterium. RNAcentral's name for it is "partial 16S ribosomal RNA". It matches the Rfam family "Bacterial small subunit ribosomal RNA", at positions 523 to 796 of the family's 1533-position model. The record is from RNAcentral.